Caenorhabditis brenneri is the source of this 72-nucleotide non-coding RNA. NCBI's taxonomy places the organism in Eukaryota, Metazoa, Nematoda, Chromadorea, Rhabditida, Rhabditidae. The record is from the annotation of a GenBank genome assembly.
GCCGGUGUGGUGUAGUGGCUAGCACUGAUGUCUUAGAAAUAUUGGACGCGGGUUCAAUCCCCUUGGGGGUCA